GACGAACGCUGGCGGCGUGCUUAACACAUGCAAGUCGAACGGUGAAGCGCCUUCCUUUUUGGUGGGUGUGGAUGAGUGGCGAACGGGUGAGUAACACGUGAGUAACCUGCCCCCUUCUUCUGGAUAACCGCAUGAAAGUGUGGCUAAUACGGGAUAUUCUGGUUCUGUCGCAUGAUGGGUCUGGGAAAGAUAUUGUUUCGGUGGGGGAUGGGCUCGCGGCCUAUCAGCUUGUUGGUGGGGUGAUGGCCUACCAAGGCGGUGACGGGUAGCCGGCCUGAGAGGGUGGACGGUCACACUGGGACUGAGACACGGCCCAGACUCCUACGGGAGGCAGCAGUGGGGAAUAUUGCACAGUGGGCGAAAGCCUGAUGCAGCGACGCCGCGUGAGGGAUGGAGGCCUUCGGGUUGUGAACCUCUUUCGCCAGUGAAGCAGGCCUGCCUCGUUUGUGGGUGGGUUGACGGUAGCUGGAUAAGAAGCGCCGGCUAACUACGUG
RNAcentral lists this ribosomal RNA (494 nucleotides) under uncultured bacterium. Its description in RNAcentral is "partial 16S ribosomal RNA". It matches the Rfam family "Bacterial small subunit ribosomal RNA", at positions 28 to 507 of the family's 1533-position model. The record is from RNAcentral.